UAGGCGUAUCUUCGGCAAUGGACGGAAGUCUGACCGAGCAACGCCGCGUGAGUGAAGAAGGUUUUCGGAUCGUAAAGCUCUGUUGUAAGAGAAGAACGAGUGUGAGAGUGGAAAGUUCACACUGUGACGGUAUCUUACCAGAAAGGGACGGCUAACUACGUGCCAGCAGCCGCGGUAAUACGUAGGUCCCGAGCGUUGUCCGGAUUUAUUGGGCGUAAAGCGAGCGCAGGCGGUUAGAUAAGUCUGAAGUUAAAGGCUGUGGCUUAACCAUAGUACGCUUUGGAAACUGUUUAACUUGAGUGCAAGAGGGGAGAGUGGAAUUCCAUGUGUAGCGGUGAAAUGCGUAGAUAUAUGGAGGAACACCGGUGGCGAAAGCGGCUCUCUGGCUUGUAACUGACGCUGAGGCUCGAAAGCGUGGGGAGCAAACAGGAUUAGAUACCCUGGUAGUCCACGCCGUAAACGAUGAGUGCUAGGUGUUAGACCCUUUCCGGGGUUUAGUGCCGCAGCUAACGCAUUAAGCACUCCGCCUGGGGAGUACGACCGCAAGGUUG
This 551-nucleotide ribosomal RNA is filed under the name uncultured bacterium. RNAcentral describes it as "bacterial SSU rRNA". It matches the Rfam family "Bacterial small subunit ribosomal RNA", at positions 354 to 896 of the family's 1533-position model. The record is from RNAcentral.